CCUACGGGCGGCUGCAGUGAGGAAUAUUGGUCAAUGGCCGGAAGGCUGAACCAGCCAUGCCGCGUGAAGGUCAGUGCCCUAUGGGCGUUAAACUUCUUUUGUGCGGGAGCAAUAAUGGUCACGUGUGGCCAGACGAGAGUACCGUACGAAUAAGCAUCGGCUAACUCCGUGCCAGCAGCCGCGGUAAUACGGGGGAUGCAAGCGUUAUCCGGGUUUAUUGGGUUUAAAGGGUGCGUAGGCUGUGAGGUAAGUCAGCGGUGAAAUGCCCCCGCUCAACGGGGUGAAGUGCCAUUGAUACUGCCUGGCUGGAAUGCGGAUGCCGUGGGAGGAAUGUGUGGUGUAGCGGUGAAAUGCAUAGAUAUCACACAGAACACCGAUUGCGAAGGCAUCUCACGAAUCCGCGAUUGACGCUGAUGCACGAAAGCGUGGGUAUCAAACAGGAUUAGAUACCCGAGUAGUC
This 460-nucleotide ribosomal RNA is filed under the name uncultured bacterium. RNAcentral's name for it is "partial 16S ribosomal RNA". It matches the Rfam family "Bacterial small subunit ribosomal RNA", at positions 338 to 795 of the family's 1533-position model. The record is from RNAcentral.